RNAcentral lists this long non-coding RNA (501 nucleotides) under Carica papaya (papaya). RNAcentral describes it as "long non-coding RNA (CPAP_LNC005745)". Lineage: Eukaryota; Viridiplantae; Streptophyta; Magnoliopsida; Brassicales; Caricaceae. The record is from RNAcentral.
AAACAGAAAAGGGCUCAUCGAAGGCGUUUGCAGGUUUUGCUCGCAGUUUCUGGCUCAUCCAUUGUUCCUUUUGCUCUGAUUUGGCCAUGGGGUUGCUCGGAAUCAAAUGCCGAGCGGAUAGGAGAAUUUUUAUCUUUUUUGGCGGUUAGAGGUGGCUCCAGCGCGGCGGCGGGCGGCGGUCGGCUGCCUUCUCUGGCAAGUGGUUCUUCUUCUCCGACCGGAGGUUGACGGUUAGGAUUUUGAUUCGGUGUGAUGUAAAAUAUUUAUACCCAUCUCGCGUUAAUCUGGACUGUUUAUCGCGUUUGAUCUCAAUCGUCCGAUCGCAUUUAAAGAGAAAAUGAAUCUGAACCGUUUAUCAUUAUUUGAUCUCGAUCAUUCAAUCGCGUUUAAAAAUGGAACAAAUCUAGACCGUUCAUUGCAUUUAAUCUCGACCAUCCGAUCGCGCCUGAGAAGAGAACGGAUUCGGAUCAUCCAUAUGCGCGGGAACGCUUCCGGAUCGUC